GGGGAUAACUAGUCGAAAGAUUAGCUAAUACCGCAUACCGCCCUGAGGGGAAAGUAGGGGAUCUUCGGACCUUACGUUAUAAGAGCGGCCGAUAUCUGAUUAGCUAGUUGGUGGGUAAUGGCCUACCAAGGCGACGAUCAGUAGCUGGUCUGAGAGGACGACCAGCCACACUGGAACUGAGACACGGUCCAGACUCCUACGGGAGGCAGCAGUGGGAAUUUUGGACAAUGGGCGCAAGCCUGAUCCAGCCAUUCCGCGUGAGUGAAGAAGGCCUUCGGGUUGUAAAGCUCUUUCGCAAGGGAAGAAAACUUACACAAUAACACUGUCGUGACGGCUGACGGUACCUUGAUAAGAAGCACCGGCUAACUACGUG
RNAcentral lists this ribosomal RNA (373 nucleotides) under uncultured bacterium. Its description in RNAcentral is "bacterial SSU rRNA". It matches the Rfam family "Bacterial small subunit ribosomal RNA", at positions 139 to 507 of the family's 1533-position model. The record is from RNAcentral.